AACGAACGCUGGUGGCAGGCUUAACACAUGCAAGUCGAACGGUUGUAGCAAUACAGCAGUGGCAGACGGGUGAGUAACACGUGGGAACCUUCCUAGGGGUACGGAACAACUCAGAGAAACUUGAGCUAAUACCGUAUACGUCCGUGAGGAGAAAGAUUUAUCGCCCUUAGACGGGCCCGCGUCGGAUUAGCUAGUUGGUGGGGUAACGGCCUACCAAGGCGACGAUCCGUAGCUGAUCUUAGAGGAUGAUCAGCCACACUGGGACUGAGACACGGCCCAGACUCCUACGGGAGGCAGCAGUGGGGAAUCUUGGACAGUGGGCGCAAGCCUGAUCCAGCCAUGCCGCGUGAGUGAAGAAGGUCUUCGGAUUGUAAAGCUCUUUUGCCAGGGACGAUAAUGACGGUACCUGGAGAAUAAGCCCCGGCAAACUUCGUGCCAGCCGCCGCGGUAA
This 451-nucleotide ribosomal RNA is filed under the name uncultured bacterium. Its description in RNAcentral is "partial 16S ribosomal RNA". It matches the Rfam family "Bacterial small subunit ribosomal RNA", at positions 29 to 523 of the family's 1533-position model. The record is from RNAcentral.